Long non-coding RNA from Siniperca chuatsi (mandarin fish), 2239 nucleotides. RefSeq lists it as uncharacterized. Lineage: Eukaryota; Metazoa; Chordata; Actinopteri; Centrarchiformes; Sinipercidae. The transcript has 2 exons. The record is from RefSeq and is a predicted model, not a curated record.
CAACUCUCAUGCAAGAAAAUCACAACUUGCAAUCAAGAAGAAAUUCUCAUUUGAGCAAAAACAAAAUCUGAAAGACUGAGCAGGGUGGUUUUUGUGUCCAUAAAGCGGUUUUGGUUGCUGUGCAGUAUCUAAAGAAAGUGCUUGUAUCUCUGAAUAAUAUUACCACAGAUUAAAUAAGAUGGAGAGAAGAGGUGCAGUGGGCAGAUAGUCUUACCAAGCGUGAGUGAGCGAAUGUGUGAGGGAGUUUACUUCUGGAUCAAUGAGGUCCACAUUCAUUCAGCCUUUAACGGACAGUUAAAGUGAACUUCUAGUGAGAUACUUGAUAAUGGGCCCAGUCGCUGUGAGAGAAGAUAACACAGAGUCAAAUCUGCCAAAGUGCAAAAAACAAACAAAACAACAGAAGAAAAUAGAGAUUAAACUGCUCCUCUUGUUUAAAGACGUGCAAGACAAGUGGAAUCCAAGAAUAUAAAUUGUCCAUAUAUGUUAAUGUGUAACUUUGUCAACUAUGUGAUAGUCCUGUAUAAUAACUAGGGUGUUUUCAGCACUCACAGUGGACGAGUGCCAACAGUGCCCUCUAGUUUGGCUGAAAUCAGCACUUGGACAACCAGCCCCUUGCAUUUGUUUCUAUUAUAAUAUUCCUUUUUUUUUUUUGGCAGAUCUUCUAAACAAUGCCGGUGCACAUAUCAAAUUACUUUUGGAGCUCUCUAGUGGUACAGCUAUGAGACUGUACAGAGACAUUUUGACAUGUCACAGCAGGAAAAACACAGGUGUGAAUAAUACAAAUUAAUGAUGGCUGAAUUCCAUUUAGCUGCUUCAGUUUCAGGUUCCUGGUAUCAUGCAUGCUGCCUUCACUGUCACAAUUGCUAACAUUAUUAGAAACGCCUGUGCUUUUCCUACUAUGACAAGUCAACUGGCUGUGUAAGAGGUCCAUUAAAUUUGUUACAUUAAAGUGUUAAACACACAAAUGAAGCUUUUAUCAGGUCAACAAGGGUCUGAAAGAGUCUGAAAAAUAAAUUGCCAUAUACAUGACACAUACAUGACAUGUGACCAUGGACAUUUUAAGAGAACAUUUCUGGUGUGUCUGAAACAGCAGAAAUAGAAGCAACGUCAGGCACUAAAAAUGACACAGAACCAGUUUGUUCUUUUCCUGUUUGGUGGCUGCAUAUUAAAAAAAAAAAACAAGGAAACACUCCUAGUUGAUCUUUCUAUCAGAGUUAGUGUAGGUGUAGACAGCGGUGUCAUCUGAUGAUGAAGGUAAGAAUAGGCACCUUAUUUUUAGACUUAGUUUUAAGCUCAGGAAGGAGAACACACGAGCAACACUACCUUCUGUUCUGACUGACUGCCGAGAAGAAAUUUGGUCAACUGGCGAUGGGUGGCUCCUCCUCCAAAAGAAGCUUUGUCUGGCAAAAGAAGAAGAAGUCACCUCUGGACAAAGCCUGGAGUCAGCUGAGGGGGGCGCUACCCAAUAAGAAACACAAGAAGAAGAGUGUCCUGUCACUGAAUAAACUAAACCUGGUUAACCCAAAGAGGGAGAAGCAUUCUCAGAAGAGAUUCUCACUGUCGACAGACAAGAAAGAGCCGAUAUUGCUGAAAAGAUUCUCUCUUGGUAACACAAGGAAGGAUUCGGUACAGACUGCUUCACCGGGAAUGAAGGAGAAGGACAGAGGAGGGCUGGGAAAAGUAGGAGAGCAGAUAAAGAGGAAAUUUUCUCAAGACCCUAAGGACAGGCUUGGGACUUAACAAGAGGUUGUCCCUCCCUCUGUGAACCUGAAGGACAGAAAGGAAGAAAGCGACAAAUGGACUGAAAAAAUGGAGCAUCUAAAAAGAGACUCAAUGAGAUCAGUUUGUCCAUGACUCUCCAACAGGAUCCAAAGCAAAUGGACUAUUUAGAGAGAAAGAACCUUGAAUAUGGCAGGAAGACAAAAGAAAGGAUGUCAGUAAACAGGCCACAGGAGAGUCGUCAGAGAGAUAACAUGUAUUCAAAGUUUUUAAUGGCCUCACGGUCAGUUACUGAGGGCAGAAACCAAGACACAGCAAACCAAAACACAAAGUUACAGUCAUAAAGGUUCUUUCCUAUUAAUAUCAUGCAGUCAGUUUCACUCAUUACCAUAAAUCAGCUGCAACAUAUGUACCCAAAAGAUUCAUAUCUCUCAUCUCACACUUGUCCUGCUUGACAAAAAGGUUCAUUUAAAAAUUAAAACAUUUCUGGAUAUUAUCCUAAUAAAAAAUGACAAGCUUG